Molecule: ribosomal RNA, 497 nt
Filed under: uncultured bacterium
Lineage: Bacteria
Description: partial 16S ribosomal RNA
Rfam family: Bacterial small subunit ribosomal RNA
Source: RNAcentral
GACGAACGCUGGCGGCGUGCCUAAUACAUGCAAGUUGAGCGCUGAAGGUUGGUACUUGUACCAACUGGAUGAGCAGCGAACGGGUGAGUAACGCGUGGGGAAUCUGCCUUUGAGCGGGGGACAACAUUUGGAAAUGAAUGCUAAUACCGCAUAAAAACUUUAAACACAAGUUUUAAGUUUGAAAGAUGCAAUUGCAUCACUCAAAGAUGAUCCCGCGUUGUAUUAGCUAGUUGGUGAGGUAAAGGCUCACCAAGGCGAUGAUACAUAGCCGACCUGAGAGGGUGAUCGGCCACAUUGGGACUGAGACACGGCCCAAACUCCUACGGGAGGCAGCAGUAGGGAAUCUUCGGCAAUAGACGAAAGUCUGACCGAGCAACGCCGCGUGAGUGAAGAAGGUUUUCGGAUCGUAAAACUCUGUUGGUAGAGAAGAACGUUGGUGAGAGUGGAAAGCUCAUCAAGUGACGGUAACUACCCAGAAAGGGACGGCUAACUACGUG